CAGUUGCCUACCUUGUAAAUGUUUGCUAGCUGAUUAUUAGUCUGGUAAAAGUAUGAGCUUCUUUGUUGCUGCCCAACGUACAUAUGGAUUUGAUGCAGCUAGCUGAGGGCUUUAACUCUUGUUUAGUGUUUUAUGUUCGCGUAGUUGCUGUCCGAUGUGGCACGUUGUUGAAGCCUAUGCUGGUAAAAGAUCUUUCUACAUCAAGUUCAAUUGACCGUUCCUUGGUGCUGAUGUUGUGUUACCGAAGUUGAAUCAUAUUUUGUUAAAUUGUCAUCGUGACUGUUGCAGUUUACCGUUUAUAAGUUCAGAAGCAACAAAAACAAUUAUGGGAUGUUUAUGUCAAACAAAUAAUAAACAUGUUUUUGGGGUUGGGAAGGGAAAGUGGUGGAUGUUGGAGGAUAUUUCAAGUUUGGAUAAAAAUUCAGUUAAUCUUAAUUAAACGUAUCCCUACCAAUUAAUCUCCAAACCCCACAAACAUAUGCCAUCCAAUCCUUCAAACCCCGAAAACAUAACCUACCAUAUCAACCCUUAAAUCUAUACCCUCUACCCUAUAAACCAAUGUUAAACCUUAAUCAUGUAACAUCUGUAAUAAAUAAAAAAUACAUUUCAUGAAAU
RNAcentral lists this long non-coding RNA (615 nucleotides) under Daphnia pulicaria. Its description in RNAcentral is "uncharacterized LOC124320473, transcript variant X1". Lineage: Eukaryota; Metazoa; Arthropoda; Branchiopoda; Diplostraca; Daphniidae. The record is from RNAcentral.